RNAcentral lists this ribosomal RNA (256 nucleotides) under uncultured Gardnerella sp. RNAcentral's name for it is "partial 16S ribosomal RNA". It matches the Rfam family "Bacterial small subunit ribosomal RNA", at positions 99 to 355 of the family's 1533-position model. The record is from RNAcentral. Lineage: Bacteria; Bacillati; Actinomycetota; Actinomycetes; Bifidobacteriales; Bifidobacteriaceae.
CGAACGGGUGAGUAAUGCGUGACCAACCUGCCCCAUGCUCCAGAAUAGCUCUUGGAAACGGGUGGUAAUGCUGGAUGCUCCAACUUGACGCAUGUCUUGUUGGGAAAGUGUUUAGUGGCAUGGGAUGGGGUCGCGUCCUAUCAGCUUGUAGGCGGGGUAAUGGCCCACCUAGGCUUCGACGGGUAGCCGGCCUGAGAGGGCGGACGGCCACAUUGGGACUGAGAUACGGCCCAGACUCCUACUGGAGGCAGCAGUA